GACAGAGGAUGCAAGCGUUAUCCGGAAUGAUUGGGCGUAAAGCGUCUGUAGGUGGCUUUUCAAGUCCGCCGUCAAAUCCCAGGGCUCAACCCUGGACAGGCGGUGGAAACUACCAAGCUGGAGUACGGUAGGGGCAGAGGGAAUUUCCGGUGGAGCGGUGAAAUGCAUUGAGAUCGGAAAGAACACCAACGGCGAAAGCAGCUACGUGCUGGGCCGACACUGACACUGAGAGACGAAAGCUAGGGGAGCAAAUGGG
RNAcentral lists this ribosomal RNA (256 nucleotides) under uncultured bacterium. Its description in RNAcentral is "partial 16S ribosomal RNA". It matches the Rfam family "Bacterial small subunit ribosomal RNA", at positions 524 to 776 of the family's 1533-position model. The record is from RNAcentral.